Coregonus clupeaformis (lake whitefish) is the source of this 206-nucleotide long non-coding RNA. RefSeq lists it as uncharacterized. The record is from RefSeq and is a predicted model, not a curated record. The transcript has 2 exons. Lineage: Eukaryota; Metazoa; Chordata; Actinopteri; Salmoniformes; Salmonidae.
CUUAAAGAUGUCCCGUUUUACUGCUGACCUAAACAGAUCCAUUUGACCCCAUAAAAGAGCGUCCGUGGGAUGUCUCAGUCAACCAAGAAAAAAGACCCAGAGGACCAGAAGGCCUGAAGACAUACAUCUUAAAGAGACUCCUUGAAUCAUUUAUUCCUCAUGGAGCAUUUUGAAGACAUUUUAAGACUGGAUGACAUACAAUUUUC